GUGCGUGGUAUGUCUGUGGCGAUGAAUCGUGCAUGUCCUUCUCAUCGAUAGGUGCGAUGAGGGAUGCGAGAGAAGGCAUUCAUCCUCUUCCAUCGGCACGCGGGCUUUGCCCGUUGAGUUGAUGCUAAUGGAUGGUGCGUUUUGAAAUAAAUGUGGCUGAUUCGAAGUUGGCCUUGGUGCCGUCUGUACCUUUGCUCAUUUUGGGCAUGUUGCCGCAAAAAUUGGAACAACUUCGCUCCUUCGCAUGACUCCAUCAAAUAGGUGGCGCGUGCGGGGGUUGUGCACAGGUUGUUUUUGAGGUUGUGUUACCUGGUUGAUCCUGCCAGUAGUCAUAUGCUUG
This 340-nucleotide unclassified non-coding RNA is filed under the name Chiloglottis trapeziformis. RNAcentral describes it as "partial contains intergenic spacer 2 and 18S ribosomal RNA". Lineage: Eukaryota; Viridiplantae; Streptophyta; Magnoliopsida; Asparagales; Orchidaceae. The record is from RNAcentral.